This is a non-coding RNA of Bombyx mori (domestic silkworm), 84 nucleotides long. The record is from Rfam. Lineage: Eukaryota; Metazoa; Arthropoda; Insecta; Lepidoptera; Bombycidae.
UUGAAUCAAAUUUGCAUGAAGUUGGAACGUUUGUCUACGUUUACCGCUAGGGGCGCUUUUCCAACUGCAUACAAAUUUGAGUUA